UGUGAAAUCCCCGAGCUUAACCUGGGAACUGCGUUUGGAACUGGGAGACUAGAGUGUGUCAGAGGGAGGUGGAAUUCCGCGUGUAGCAGUGAAAUGCGUAGAGAUGCGGAGGAACACCGAUGGCGAAGGCAGCCUCCUGGGAUGACACUGACGCUCAUGCACGAAAGCGUGGGGAGCAAACAGGAUUAGAUACCCUGGUAGUCCACGCCCUAAACGAUGUCAACUGGCUGUUGGGAGAGGAAUCUUUCAGUAGCGAAGCUAACGCGUGAAGUUGACCGCCUGGGGAGUACGGCCGCAAGGUUG
RNAcentral lists this ribosomal RNA (303 nucleotides) under uncultured bacterium. Its description in RNAcentral is "bacterial SSU rRNA". It matches the Rfam family "Bacterial small subunit ribosomal RNA", at positions 593 to 896 of the family's 1533-position model. The record is from RNAcentral.